Molecule: long non-coding RNA, 1011 nt
Organism: Drosophila sulfurigaster albostrigata
Lineage: Eukaryota; Metazoa; Arthropoda; Insecta; Diptera; Drosophilidae
Exons: 3
Source: RefSeq, a predicted model, not a curated record
UGGUGCCAAUGCGUCCGAUCAACGGCUUGCGUUCGGGUUCAUCAUGCUUCUUAGGUGGCAUAUUGUUGUCCAUUUUGUGUACGUACGAACCUGCUGCUGCUGCUGUUCCGAUUAACUGUUCAACUAGACACAAUUAUUAUUGUGCACUCACGAUAAAUAAAAGAAAACAAACAAACGAACUUUUACGCAAGUUCUUUAAUAUAUUGAAUACAAUCAAUAUAAAAAUGUUUUGCUGUUUAGUAGCACGUCUGUUGACUGCGGCGACCGACCACCUCGUUGAACGAUACAGCCAGAAAGAGAGAGAACGAACCACAAACAGCUGUCAGCUGUAAGCAAUAGUAUGCAAUAGCGCCGCCAGCGGUUAAGCGUCAAACCAAAUGCUGUUUGUUGUGAGUUCUGUGUGUAUGUGUAGCAGUCAGCUUGUGUUCGCUAACCUUUCAAAUGUUAGUUUACCAUACAGCCGUUGGAUGGCGCAUGAAAUAAGCGCGUAAUUUGAACAUUUUAAUUGCACAAGUGAAUAACAUACCAGCGUGAUGUGAGACUAUCAAACGACAGUGAGUAUUCCAAUUGUAUUUAAUAUUCGAGCUUUAUUUUAUUUGUUAUUUUUCGUUUUGCCGUCGCUACGAAACAAGCUGCUGCGUUGUUGAAAAUAUAAUAAAUAUGAAAGCAGCGCUGUGAAAGUGAAAGAUACAUUCGUGUGGACGUGCAUCAGAUUGUUAAAUAUCUUCAGGAAUUUUGCAGCGCAACUUGUGUGGAUGGCUCGUCGUGGGAUCGAUCAGCAACGGUGCAGCAUAGUAACAUACUAUACUAUAUAACUGUCAAGGUCACUUUGCAGACGCACGUACACACAAUUUACCGAGUUAGUGAAAUGCCCAAGAUAAUCAGUAAUUACGCAUAAUUAUUAGAUCGAUCGAUUUAUUGCACACUGAAACGCAACCAGAUCCAGAUCCCCCAAAUGAAACAGAGAGAGAAGUAGAGAGACGGCGACGAAGAAGGUCUCUCCAGUUUGUG